GUUUUUAAAUAAGCUGCUAGAGUGAAACAACACAGGAUUGCUCUUAUCUGCCCCUGGUGCUGUGAAUUUUUUAGCCAAAUCACAGACAGAUGGAUAGAUGAAUACGAAGCAAGUAUGAAUGUCCUACCAGUGGUUUCAUUUCAGAUGGCAAGUGUUUUCCCAGUGGUGAUCUACGUUCCUAAGUCUGAUGCAUGCAUGUUGUUGUUGCUUGGAGAAUCAGCUGUGAUUAUUCAAUUGUCUGAGAAAGUUCUGUUAAAUCAUGUAAGUUCUCUUACAGCAUUUAUUUUGAAAUAAUAAGGUAAAAAGUUCAGUCAGAUCAGUAAUUUCCUUUAGCUUGUGAAGUUCACCAGAAAACAUGAAGAGAGAAAUACAGAUUAGAACCACAGUUUUCAAGCCAGGUAGUCUUAAGCCCAAAUUCCUAAAUGUGGUUUUAGACUUGAACUUUAUGUAUCUGAGCCUGAAAAUAUUGGCCUUGUUUAAUAUUCCUAUUGAGGAUUGAUUAAUGUAUAGUCAGGAUGUUUUUCCCUACAGCCAGCCUAUAAACGUUACCUUUCUAAAGUUCAGCCCAUACUUACUUGGUUUAUCUUUAAACAAUUUAUCUUCCUUCCCUACACUUUUUAAAUAUUUCAGACUAUUUCAGUUUGUGAAACUGUUGUGAAACUGAUGAUCUGGGGCUAAAGCUUCUCCCGGGUAUGAGGGGUAGCUGGAGCAGGGGACAGCCUUUGUUUAAACAGAAAAGGAUGAAAUUUUAGCCCCGUCAGAGUCAGUGGAAGCUUUGCUGCUGGCUUCCACAUGGCCUGGAUUUUAC
This 808-nucleotide long non-coding RNA is filed under the name Parus major (Great Tit). RNAcentral's name for it is "lncRNA (ENSPMJG00000001536.1)". Lineage: Eukaryota; Metazoa; Chordata; Aves; Passeriformes; Paridae. The record is from RNAcentral.